AGGGACAGACACGGAUGUACAAAGACAAAAAUAUGAACAAAUAUUUGAGUGAUUUAUUUGGACCUGGAAGUAUGGCGGUUUCCACUCGUAGACCCAAGAGAAUGGACAGUCUGCCUGUCAAUCACUGCAGGCCCUCCAAGCUGAUGUCUGAAGGCGGGGCCAUUGAAGGACGGCAAGCACCCGGCAAUGAAGCCCUACCACGUGAGCAGGCCGAUGACGGUUUGGAUUGUGCAAUGAGGCUUCCGUAGACCGUUCCCCUCAGUGAUGACGAAAUACGGCGGGUACUGUGGAUAUAUGGCGGGUACUGUGGAUAUAUGGCGGUUGACAAUGCUCCGAUCUCACAAGUGCUGCAUGAUUGGGUCCUCUGGCCCCACCAAGCACUUUCAGAAAUUGCUCUGGAUGAGGGAAAGAGGAAGUUUGCCCCAUCCACUCGUGUUGUGAGUUUCCAAGUGACCUAAUUUUCCUGCAGCGGUCCCAAGCUGACCUUCCACAGGUAAUCGCUUUCUACUACCAUGCAGAAGCAGGAUGGACUGGAUGGGAUGGUCAGACACAAACUUCAGGAACUCCGAGAUUGUGGGAGCACUGCUCAGGUGCAUUUCUUCAGAUGUUGCCGAGACCGUGUCACCCAUCGUGUUUCGUUCACAAUAAGUUUCCAGUAUGUGAGUCUGAAAGACCCUCGGCCCUUUCUUCCUGUCAUCUCUGAGCCUCAGCUUCCACAUCUGCAAACUGGAAAUGACACCUUGCUCUUGCUCUCAGGCGUGGGGUGAAAAUCAAGCGUGGUCGUCUUUAUGAAGUGCUCAGCACACAGGAGGGCCAGCAACUAUUCUCAGAGGGUCUUGGGCAUCUCUUUGGAAAUGGACCUCUUUAACUCUGCUGUGAUGCCAGGAGGUAGCCCAGCAUCCCAGACCCUGCCUUUCUCUGAGCUGCAUUCUUUCCUGGCGGCCGUGGACGUCUGACAUUGAAGCUGAUGUCACUCCGCGUCAAGUUGGGGCUGGAGGGUGCUUGGUAACUGGCAGUGCCCAAAGGUCUCCUGUCUUUCCUUCUCUGUAUAAAGUUCCUUCUUUUCUGGGCAGGGGUUAAUUUGGUGAAAAUCAGGUGAAGACUUUGACGGUUGGGUGUGAGAGUGUUAAGCGUAAAGACGAAUGGCUCUAAGGUGCAUUCAAAGACCCUCGUGACCUCUAGAGUCAGACACACCUCUGGUUCCUCUAUUGCUUUGUUCGCACCAGUUUUAUCCAGAAGGUGGCAUCGCAGAGCCUGAUGUGCACUCCCCAAAGUCCAAAGGAUCCACAUUUCUUUGUGGUUAGACACUAACGUAUGUAGCCUUUACACAGCAUGUUGACAUUUCAAAGACUUUUCAUUUAUCCCUAUACUUGGUUCAGUUACUUUCAAGCCGGGGGAGAUGGGGGUCAUUACGACUUCCUACCCAGUGAAAACCUGAGACCUGAGGUACUUAGAAAACUCUGUGCCCCAACUCAUGUUCCUUCCCCAGGCGGUAGGUACAAAAGUGAACAAGAAUGGCUUGUUUGCUUGUCAGAAGCAGUUGUACAACUUAAUAACUGUGAUGCCUCCUCCUUCUUGUACACACACUUGUGCCCGCCCACUGCCCAUCAAAGUCAUGUUGGGUCAUUUCAUCGGGGGGAGGGAUGGGGAAGACGUAGAUGAAUGUUUUAUGGGUAAGUCUUCUGAGUACUGGCACUUAACAAAAUAAGUCCCAAGGUUGACGCUUCCAAAAGGGUGACUGUUUAAUUGGUGGCAUCUCAAACUCAGGACCCUGAGGGAAAGACAAGGUGACCCUCCCAACUUAAGGUGGGGUCUGGCUUGGUGGCUCUUUCCCAGGAGUCCACUCUGGAGCCUGCCACAUCAGUUGCGUGAUGAGGCCUGUACUCAACGAAUGUGUACUUCCCAGCGGGGAUGUUAAUGAGUUAUGAAUUCUCGGUGUGAAGUAUUUCAUGUCACACCCUGUUAGCCUGAAGUGGAUUUUCAUUCCUCUUACGUAUGUCGGUGACAGAAAGGGAAUGGAUAUCGAACACCUGAAGGUAAGGCCUUUGCACUUGUGCUGCCGAAGGAGCACGAGGUAAGGCCUUUGAAAUGGAGUGGAUUCGUUGUCACACUGGUUCCCUGUUAUAGGCGCACGUUUCCACGGAUGAGCAUUAUUUCAUUGGAUACAUGUACCACAUUUUCUUUAUCCAUUUAUACUGUUGAUGGAUGCUCACAAGUCUCUCAUGUCUUACAUGGUGAGAAUAAUACCGUAGGGAGGAUAUGGGAUGAGAAUGUGUCUUUGACAUAGUGGCUACCUGUCGUUUGCAUAAACGCCCAGAUACGGGAUUGAUACAUCAUAUGGGAGCUCAAUUAUUAAUUUUUUGAGAGGCCACCCUACUAUUCUCCGUAGUGUUACCCAAUGUGGGGCUGUCAGGUUGUCAGACGCCCUUUACAAAGAAGCUGAAAGAGUACGUCUACCAUGCAGAGCAAUGGCCUACUAGGAAUCACUGGGAAUCCUCAUGUUGUGUACGGGAAUGUGGUUGGAAUUGUAUCCACGCGUUUCCAUCAAAACUUCCUGCACUCUUCCGGUGAUCAUACCUUGCCGGUGGCAAGAAGACGAGCGGCGUGUGGGUGCUGUCAAUGAACCUUCCAUGAGGCAGGGGACCUUUAGAUUCUCACGGACAUGAGUUGAUGAGCUGGAUGUCCGGGAGUCUCCUGGGUCAGGUGUCCAUGGUGGAGGAUUCAUCCCUGGGCCUUUGUUUCUACGCCAUUUCGGGCCAUUCAUUUCUCCCGAUUAGUGAAACCUAGGGUCCAGAAGGGAUAUAUGAGUAAACGCUGGGAGUGUAAAAAACUUGCAAGGGGGUGCGUAGAGUAUCUUAGUGUGAAAGUG
Molecule: long non-coding RNA, 2869 nt
Organism: Lynx canadensis (Canada lynx)
Lineage: Eukaryota; Metazoa; Chordata; Mammalia; Carnivora; Felidae
Exons: 5
Source: RefSeq, a predicted model, not a curated record